UUCCUCUUGUUUUUUUCCUAAAACCUUGCUCGUGGAUCUUCAGGGGCAGCAAGUCGUCGGUCCGGCAAGGGGAACUCCGGCGAGGCAAGGCAAGUGGGCGUCUGGCGCGGGCAGUGAAGAUUGACGCCGGCAAGGGACUUCGGCGAAGCAGGGCACCGGCAAGUGGCUCCGGCAAGGGCGGCUGCAGGCGACGCGAGGACGUGGAGCGCAGCUACUGGGCGUUACGGACGAAGGGCUGGCGAGCGACCAAGGCGAGGCGGUAGCAGCUGCAGGGGCACCUGGUCGUCGCGGGUCAGUGCGGGCUGAGCAGGGGCGGCGUUGGGCAGAUCUGCCUCGGGUCUGGUCUCGGUAGAGCUUCGGUGGGGAAAGACGCCGGCAAGGAGCUCCGGCGAAGGGGAUCAGCGGGCGGAGGCGCGAGCUGCUGGAGCGAGGCUUGCUGUCGGGCGCCGGGAACCAAGGAGGCGUGCGACGGCUCGGUGACAGGGCUGACGCUCGCAGGUGGUGCUCGCGGAGGUGUUGCUGCGGCGAGGUCCGGCAGAUUGUGGGCUUCGGGUUCCAGGCGGCGUCGGCUGAGUGGAGGCGGUGUGCAUGGACGGACGCUCCAAAAGAGGGUGAGCGGCGAGGCGCGGUAGUGUCGAGCAGAGAGGGCGUCGGAUCAAUGGCGUCCUGACUGGAACAGCAACGUGGGCAGCAAGUUGGGAAGACGAUGAACAGUAGGGGUCAAAUCACCCCUUUACUUUUCUCCUCUCUCUCUCUCUCUCUCUCUCACAUGUCACUCUCCCUCUUCCUUUACUUUUCUGCAGAAGCUUUUUGCUUUUUUCUCUUCUUUCCUUUUAACCUCCACGGAUGGCUUCUCUCCCCUUUCACUUUUUCUGAAUUUUUAAAAAAAGAAGCUCCU
This 898-nucleotide long non-coding RNA is filed under the name Eucalyptus grandis. RNAcentral describes it as "long non-coding RNA (EGRA_LNC003671)". Lineage: Eukaryota; Viridiplantae; Streptophyta; Magnoliopsida; Myrtales; Myrtaceae. The record is from RNAcentral.